CCUACGGGUGGCUGCAGUGGGGGAUAUUGCACAAUGGGGGGAACCCUGAUGCAGCGACGCCGCGUGGGUGAAGGUGUGCUUCGGCAUGUAAACCUCUAUCGGCAGGGAAGAAGCAAGACGUUACCUGACUAAGAAGCCCCGGCUAACUACGUGCCAGCAGCCGCGGUAAUACGUAGGGGGCGAGCGUUAUCCGGAUUCACUGGGUGUAACGGGAGCGUAGACGGCCAUGCAAGCCAGGGGUGAAAGCCCGGGGACCAACCCCGGGACUGCCCUUGGACCGGUGCGGCUAGAGUGCGGGAGGGGCAGGGGGAAUGCCUGGUGUAGCGGUGAAAUGCGUAGAUAGCAGGAGGAACACCGGCGGCGAAGGCGGCCUGCUGGACCUCGACUGACGUUGAGGCUCGAAAGCGUGGGGAGCGAACAGGAUUAGAUACCCCUGUAGUC
RNAcentral lists this ribosomal RNA (441 nucleotides) under uncultured bacterium. Its description in RNAcentral is "partial 16S ribosomal RNA". It matches the Rfam family "Bacterial small subunit ribosomal RNA", at positions 338 to 795 of the family's 1533-position model. The record is from RNAcentral.